UUAGGAAUGUGCUCAGUUUGAGUAUUAUGUAUACAAAUGGACUCAAGCCUGUUGUUCUGAUAUCGAUCACCACACUAACUUGGAAGCAAACCAUCUUUGGAAUAUGGGUCAGAGAUGGAUUAUUGGGGAACAUGUUUUCUGUUUAUUAUUAUGAUGGAGCAAUUUACUUUUGUGAUACCUAUUGAUGGUGAUACUUGGAUUUCAGGACCACGAUUUCACCUGUGAGGAUUUUUAGAACAACAUGAACGA
This 249-nucleotide unclassified non-coding RNA is filed under the name Hevea brasiliensis (rubber tree). The record is from RNAcentral. Lineage: Eukaryota; Viridiplantae; Streptophyta; Magnoliopsida; Malpighiales; Euphorbiaceae.